GGCAUUCAAGCUCAUAAUUCCACUGCAAAAAAUAGGAAAAUCAUGAACAAAGAUAUCCACCCAUAAAAAUUCAUACAAUAAAGGGCAUGAAGUAUCUAAAAUGAGCAUGAAGCCAAGCUACUGUUAAUCCAAUACUUCAAGCCACAGCUAAAUAGAGUAUUUCAUCAAAUAACUUAGACUUUUUGAAAGAUUAAAGUUUUACAGAGUUUUGUUCAGUGGGGCUAAUGGUGCCUUCGAUAAAUUUUGAGGAAUUUGUGAAUAUGUCAGACUUAAAUGCAAUUCCCAAAUCAUCUCUCAAAUUCUGAACUUUUCUAACUUGAAAUACAUGCUUCUUUUCAUGUAUGUGAUAAGCUUUACUAAUUAUGAUCAGCAGAAAAUAGGGCGCAGUAUAUUACCGUGAAAGUAAGAUAAUGUCAUUA
RNAcentral lists this unclassified non-coding RNA (419 nucleotides) under Hevea brasiliensis (rubber tree). The record is from RNAcentral. Lineage: Eukaryota; Viridiplantae; Streptophyta; Magnoliopsida; Malpighiales; Euphorbiaceae.